CCGGCUUGGGAUCGCCCUCAGGCAGCGCGUGGCGCCCCCUGGGGCGGUAGUG
This 52-nucleotide small RNA is filed under the name Rhizomicrobium palustre. RNAcentral describes it as "Rhizobiales bacterium A48 ffh sRNA". It matches the Rfam family "ffh sRNA". Lineage: Bacteria; Pseudomonadati; Pseudomonadota; Alphaproteobacteria; Micropepsales; Micropepsaceae. The record is from Rfam by way of RNAcentral.